AACUCUGGUAUUGAUUGGUGCUUGCAUCAUGAUUUACAUUUGAGUGAGUGGCGAACUGGUGAGUAACACGUGGGAAACCUGCCCAGAAGCGGGGGAUAACACCUGGAAACAGAUGCUAAUACCGCAUAACAACUUGGACCGCAUGGUCCGAGUUUGAAAGAUGGCUUCGGCUAUCACUUUUGGAUGGUCCCGCGGCGUAUUAGCUAGAUGGUGGGGUAACGGCUCACCAUGGCAAUGAUACGUAGCCGACCUGAGAGGGUAAUCGGCCACAUUGGGACUGAGACACGGCCCAAACUCCUACGGGAGGCAGCAGUAGGGAAUCUUCCACAAUGGACGAAAGUCUGAUGGAGCAACGCCGCGUGAGUGAAGAAGGGUUUCGGCUCGUAAAACUCUGUUGUUAAAGAAGAACAUAUCUGAGAGUAACUGUUCAGGUAUUGACGGUAUUUAACCAGAAAGCCACGGCUAACUACGUGCCAGCAGCCGCGGUAAUACGUAGGUGGCAAGCGUUGUCCGGAUUUAUUGGGCGUAAAGCGAGCGCAGGCGGUUUUUUAAGUCUGAUGUGAAAGCCUUCGGCUCAACCGAAGAAGUGCAUCGGAAACUGGGAAACUUGAGUGCAGAAGAGGACAGUGGAACUCCAUGUGUAGCGGUGAAAUGCGUAGAUAUAUGGAAGAACACCAGUGGCGAAGGCGGCUGUCUGGUCUGUAACUGACGCUGAGGCUCGAAAGUAUGGGUAGCAAACAGGAUUAGAUACCCUGGUAGUCCAUACCGUAAACGAUGAAUGCUAAGUGUUGGAGGGUUUCCGCCCUUCAGUGCUGCAGCUAACGCAUUAAGCAUUCCGCCUGGGGAGUACGGCCGCAAGGCUGAAACUCAAAGGAAUUGACGGGGGCCCGCACAAGCGGUGGAGCAUGUGGUUUAAUUCGAAGCUACGCGAAGAACCUUACCAGGUCUUGACAUACUAUGCAAAUCUAAGAGAUUAGACGUUCCCUUCGGGGACAUGGAUACAGGUGGUGCAUGGUUGUCGUCAGCUCGUGUCGUGAGAUGUUGGGUUAAGUCCCGCAACGAGCGCAACCCUUAUUAUCAGUUGCCAGCAUUAAGUUGGGCACUCUGGUGAGACUGCCGGUGACAAACCGGAGGAAGGUGGGGAUGACGUCAAAUCAUCAUGCCCCUUAUGACCUGGGCUACACACGUGCUACAAUGGAUGGUACAACGAGUUGCGAACUCGCGAGAGUAAGCUAAUCUCUUAAAGCCAUUCUCAGUUCGGAUUGUAGGCUGCAACUCGCCUACAUGAAGUCGGAAUCGCUAGUAAUCGCGGAUCAGCAUGCCGCGGUGAAUACGUUCCCGGGCCUUGUACACACCGCCCGUCACACCAUGAGAGUU
This 1377-nucleotide ribosomal RNA is filed under the name Lactiplantibacillus pentosus. RNAcentral describes it as "bacterial SSU rRNA". It matches the Rfam family "Bacterial small subunit ribosomal RNA", at positions 65 to 1412 of the family's 1533-position model. The record is from RNAcentral. Lineage: Bacteria; Bacillati; Bacillota; Bacilli; Lactobacillales; Lactobacillaceae. RNAcentral also lists the same sequence under 1 other name.